Antechinus flavipes (yellow-footed antechinus) is the source of this 1281-nucleotide long non-coding RNA. RefSeq lists it as uncharacterized. NCBI's taxonomy places the organism in Eukaryota, Metazoa, Chordata, Mammalia, Dasyuromorphia, Dasyuridae. The transcript has 6 exons. The record is from RefSeq and is a predicted model, not a curated record.
CGAUGCAAUCAGCAUGCUGAUUAAGGUUGCUUGGUUUUUUACUAAACAUUAACUGAAUGAAAACGGGUACUGCUUGUUCUGCUUGGGGGGCUUUAAGGAAGCAAAUGGACUUUCAGAACAGAGAUUGUCAAUAAAGAUGCAAUAGAUGACCUUGACAUCUUCCACAUUUGACCAUGAUCUAAGUACUCCACAGAGCCUUCAGCUUCAGCCAUCUUCAUCACCAUUGGAACAAAUUAUUCUCAAGGCUUAGUGGAUAGAGUUAAGAACCAGGAAUCAGUCAGAAAACUUGUUAUCUCAUCAGUGAUGCAAAUAGUGUGAUCUUUGGCAGUGACUGAACUAGUGUCAACACCCCAGGAAACAAAUGUGAGAAAAGGAAAAUUAGUGAAAAUGAAUCUGUGAAGUAGUUUCUUCAUAACAAAACUCAGUCCACCUACCAAAUAGUUCACAAGAAUGUUUGUUUCAAACUAGCAUAGUUUCUCAUUUUGACCCAGAUUUUUUCCUUUCAAUUUCUUAUUUACUAUACAGCUGUCUCUCUCCCUUCUCUCCACCCCCUCUCCUCUUGGCCCUGUCCUCCUUCUUUGCUACUGAGCCAAUAACAGUUUCUUCUGUUACGCUGAGUCCCUGCUGUUGCUCUCGCCACAGGAAUAGAGCAGGACAUUGUCACAUACCGUAGUUUCAGGACCUCACCUAUCUAAUUGGGUUUGCAGAAGCAACUUUCACAGAUUCAUGGGGUCAUAGAAAUGUGGAACUAAAAGGGACUUCAGUCAAACAACCAAAAGUCCAGAGUCACAUGGUUAGUGUCAAAGGUCAUUCUACAGGAUAGAGAACUGAGGAAAACAUGGUUAAAUGACUUGCCAAGGAUAACACAGCUAGUCGACCAAUUGUGAACUCCAGAUGUGGCUUUUGAGAAUACAUCUGUGGUAAAGCCAGCAUCCUGUCAAUGCUGUAUCUUUGAGGCAAUAAUCAAGAGCAACUAAACAUGAGAGAAGAUGAAUGAAUUUCUCAACACUGAGCUGCCUGUCCGGUGUCCAGCCCUUUGAAGAUCUAGUCAAGACUAUUUCUGUGUUAGAACCUUGAGAGAUGUCACACUAAUUCAAAGAAAAGUCUUUCCUUGUUGAAACAUUUUGCUUAAUGACAUCUUUAUUCAUGUGAAACUACAGGAUGAUUUUCUACAAUAUGAUUAUGUUUUUGUUCAUCAGAAAUGUUAUUUUUCUUUACAGAGUCUGGUUUCAAUGAGCCAGCUAUGUAAUAGAUAUUAAAUAAACAUGGAAUUUUAUACAU